Molecule: long non-coding RNA, 557 nt
Organism: Drosophila miranda
Lineage: Eukaryota; Metazoa; Arthropoda; Insecta; Diptera; Drosophilidae
Exons: 3
Source: RefSeq, a predicted model, not a curated record
GAUAUUUUACUGUAGUUGCGCUCGUGGAAUGAAAGAGACAAGAAUUUACACAAACAAAAUGCAUUUGUUUUCCUCGUUUGCUUUAUGCGUUGAUUUUGUUCACUUCUGUACAACAUCUAAUCGCUGGAAGAGUCUUUUGUGUAAACAUUUAUUAAAAAAGUGGAAAAGAAUUAAUAAAUAAAUCAAAUUAAUAUAAACAGACUCCGUAAGAGUGAAAGGGAAGCUAACAUUGCAAAGUUUGCGUUGUGCAGGAAAGAUAACAGAUAACAGCAAUGAAAUCGAUUCUCCAGCCAGCUGGCGUUUUGAGCGGCUUAAACUUUAUUUUGAGUGAGGAAAUUGUUCUAGCCUAUAACGUAAGGGAAGAAGGCCCUUAGGACCCACAAAGAAUUUUUUGCAGCUUUGCUAGAAUGUAUUCCGCCUGGCGAUGAGCCCCCCGAAAACACUGUGCGGAAGGCAAUGCAAAGGAUGAAGAAAAGGGUGUUUAAGAAGAAGUGUCUUGCCAAAAACCAGGAGUAGGCUAAGCAUCAUAUAAUUAAAAAUUAUUCGUUAUAAUGAAA